This is an RNA transcript of Suricata suricatta (meerkat), 907 nucleotides long. It is a transcript of the gene named melanocortin 2 receptor accessory protein, with no coding region annotated. The transcript has 4 exons. The record is from RefSeq and is a predicted model, not a curated record. NCBI's taxonomy places the organism in Eukaryota, Metazoa, Chordata, Mammalia, Carnivora, Herpestidae.
CAGAAAUCAGUUGGCCAGUCUCUCUGAGGGCUCCGACUAGCUCCGGACGCGCCGCCCCCCAGAGCCGCAGACAUGGCCAACCAGACCAGUGCCUCCACCCCGUAUGACGGCUACGAAUACUACCUAGACUACCUGGACCUCAUUCCCGUGGAUGAGAGGAAACUGAAGGCCAACAAAUUCAAAGGGAUCAGAAAGCGUCGCCUGUGCAGAGGUUCACAUCAAAGACAGAAAGAUGCCGGGACAGGAGCCAUGAGCCGGGGACGCUCGCAGAUUUGAUUGUCAUUGCCUUCUGGGUGAGCCUGGCAUUUUUCGUCAUGCUUCUCUUCCUCAUCCUGCUCUACAUGUCCUGGUCAGGGUCCUCGCAGGUGAGGAAUGACGCCCAGCACCGCCCAGCACAACCCUGGGGUCCCAGCCUCAAGCUCCCACUCUGCAUCCGGAGGCAGCCUGCGGGGUCCCUCGAGCUCGGGGACCCAGCCACACAGCACAGCAUCCCGACCUGAGCCUCGGCUGCGGAUGAAGCCCCUCUGCCCUGCCCCGCAGACCCACCAACCGCCCUGCUCUCUUCCGGAACCGGCCUCGGUGGGGACCCCCCACAGCAGCCGACAACAGGAACAGGCAGGAGGAACCUCUCCCUGGAGAUGGAACCUCUCAGUUGCAGCACCGACACUGGCGGACCAGUGUGCUCAAACCAAGCUGGACACAGUGCCUUCGGAAAGCCUGCUUACACGUAGCAGGAAGGGUGACGGGGUCACAGGGCACCGACAUGCAUCGUGCGGGGCUGCACGAGCCCACCUAGGCCAGGGAAGCAGCCCAGAUAUUACUGAUUUUUAGUGCACUUAACCUGCAUACUUACUCCUUGUGCACUUUCGGAAGGGUAGAAAAAUAAAACAUGUAUGAGUUAAUGAAA